Non-coding RNA from Zonotrichia albicollis (white-throated sparrow), 2100 nucleotides. The record is from RefSeq and is a predicted model, not a curated record. NCBI's taxonomy places the organism in Eukaryota, Metazoa, Chordata, Aves, Passeriformes, Passerellidae.
AGGGCAUUGUGGACCAUUGUGUAACAGGAAUGGUUCUCUCAGAACUGACUCGGGAAAUGGAUCUGAGUUUUCUGGAUGAUUUCUUUGACGGAUGCUCGGUUACCCCAGUAGUAAAAUGAAGAGGUAGAACUGGCAAUUCUGUGGUUCUUGGAUCAGCAUGAGAGCCAAGCUUCAGCACAGCUCAAAGUGGACAUGAGUCAAACUGGUGAUAAAUCUAUUUCAUACACUGCUUUUGCCCCAGGCAUGUGCUCCUAUGGAACCAGGCUGGGACAGGAGGAGUUCUUCAAGGCUCUCCUGGUGCAUGUCAGGAUGUCUGAAGUCUUGGGAAUAAAAGGUGACAACCAUGUUCUGGAAGCAUUUAUGACCAAAAAUGGUGUUGUCUGAAUUUGUCAGUCCCUGUGACUGCUCUUCUGUCAUUCCUACUGUUGCACUGGGGCGAGUGAUCUGGUCUGGGCAGUAUCCCUAAAGGUCCCAUGAAGUUCCCACGAUGUGAGAUUUCUCUGUGAAAGCCUCAGAGCCUGACCCGUCUGAACACGUGCAGAGAUGAGGCCUUUGCUGGCUUGUUCUGGUUUCUUUUCCUGUAGGUGAGGAUGAGGACGAGUCUGAGAAUUUCCUGCUCCCCCCACAGCUUGAUUUAAGGCCCCUUCUGCUCAGCUAGUAGACCUUGGACCUGCCUGCAAGCAGAGGGUGUUGUUCCAUCAAAAGGAGAUUGCCUUCAGUCUGGCCGCACCAUUGUUUUCCAGUUGUUCAUGAAUCCAUUGCUGUGUUCAGCUCUGAUGAAGAUCUGAAUAUUUUUCUGUUAUUUUUAAAAUCACAGCAUUUAAGUGUUGAUGGAUCAUCUCCAAACAGAAUUCUUCCCUUCAGAGAAGCCAGGAAAGUGAUGUGUCCAUUGAUACAAUUGUGUCCUCCAGCUGCUGAGCUACUUUAGACUACAUUGUCACCUGCUUCUUCGGGCACUAAAGACAAGAAGACUCUCAGAGGUAGAGACAUUUCACAGGAUGGACAGAGAUUGCUCCACUUCAUGCAGCAGAACCCAGAAGUUCUACACCAGAUGAUGUCAGUCCUAAUGAACACCAUCAUCUUUGGAGACUGAAGAAACCAAUGGCCUGUGUCAAGACUGCUGCUUAGACUCACACUUCUUAAUGAGAAAGUCACUCAGAGCAUGCUGGAGAGACGUGGCCAAAGCUCUGCACUGCAAAGGGGCCUCCAAUCCCAAGGGCGUGGAUCUAAUUUGACAAGGACUUUGGAAACAGAGAACUGACUGAUAAACCCUCUUGGAAAGUGCUGGCACCCUGUUAUUUGUUAGAGAGAUUUUUUACUCUUGUGAAAACUAUUUUUUAAGAUAUUUUCCACAUUUUUCUAUCUCUAGCCUAAAUGUAAGGAUUUAUAAUAGUGAAAACAAUGGAAAAUCAGCCUUACUUUGAAGAAUGUUUUCAGCCUUUCUUAUCAAAAUUUAUAAUCCUGUUGUUUUAGCUUUAUGAAACAGUGUAAAAAUAGUGUAUAAAUAGAGAAAAAAAGGAUAUGCAUUCAUUCUGAAUUUGUGUCAGUUCAUGAUUCUCAGUUCUGUACAUAAUAGUAAAUAAUAUCUCAUCAGUUCAAACCUCUAAGCUCACUCUUAAGACAUAUUUGUUUGAAAAUGAGAUGAAAGCCAGUACAAACUUUAUAUGACACCUUUUCAAACUAUUUUUCUGCAAAAUGUUCUAUAUUUCUUUGCAGCACACGUGGUUAAUGACAAUGAGGACCACAAAGAAGACUGAAAACAAGCAUUUUUAGGCUAUAAGUGUAGCAAGAAAAUUGAAUGUUGCACAGAGCGGAAUGAGAGAGGAUGGAGCAAGACUUAGUGAAGUACUGAUGUGUUAUUUCACAAGUACACAUUUUCCAGGUCUUUAGAAUCAGCAAAAACAGAAGCACAAAAGAAAAUGGAGGUGUUAAAACCCUUCACAAAGCAUAAAGUUUAUCCAAAACUGCAGAAAAAAGAAAGAGACUUACCCUGGUGAGCAGUGGGUGUCCUGUGCUGGGCAGGAGGGGCUCUGCUGGCUGGGGAGAUGCAAAAUGGAUUGAAGGAAGACCUAAUAAAAAUCAGAACCUCUUAAACCAUAA